GGGGGUGUUUGUUGGUAGUUGUGAAUCCUGUGGGUGUCUUUUUGUUGUGUUCUUGGGCUUUCUUGUGUGGGGCGAAUGGUCCCCUUGUCUUGAUUUCAUGUUUGUUUUAAAGUACACAUCGCAUGUUGAUGGUGGUUCACUAGCGAUUCUGGUUUGUGAUUUGUGUUGAUUGUUGUCCUUGUCUCUUGUGAUAGAUAUGUUCCCAGUGUGGUGUAAUUAGUUUAAUGUUUGGAUGCAACACCCUGAUGAGCAACUCUUGACGUGAUUUGUCCGGUAGAUGCUAGGGGGAGUGUUUUUAUUGCAAUUUCCUAAUAUCUUUCUCUGUGUUGAAAUGUUUGGUUGGUUGUUGAGUACUUGAUAGCUCUGGGUCUCUGCUCCUCUAAUAGUAUCGUUAUGAGCAUGGGAAACCACACGAGAAUGUUUUGGACCACCUCCAAAAAAUGUCAAUCUCGUGAAAUAUGGCCUAUCUAUUAAGAGCAAAAAUAACUUGACCCCAGAAAAGAGAGUGAAAUGUGAAAAGAUGAAAGAAUGUGAAAAAGGAACGAGAUAUGAUUAUAAAGGAAAUUGCAUUAGGAAAUUCACCCCUAGCGGAGAAUUGGGUCUGAUCGGAUUGAGUUGUAUCAUCUUGUUGUUGCAUUUUAAACCUUAGCUUUGAACACUUGAUGGGGAAUUGAUAUCUAGAGAGACUUGGAUUGGUUGGAGUUGUGAAUGGUGAGGAGGUUUUCUUGUGAACUAUCAUUUUGUGUCGUGACUUUGCUUGAGGAGAAGCAAAGGAUCAAGUGUGGGGGGGUUGUUUAGCCCUAUUUUGUGAUGAAUUUGUGGGUGUUUACAUCUUAUAUUGACUUUUAUUUUGGUCUCUUUCACUCAAGAGUUGAUUGAUUUGAGCUGUUGUGCUAAUUUUGUUGUCUCAGGAUUUUAUGCUCAAAUUGAUUGAUAUGUGGACAAAAAUAAAGUCAGGAUUUAGUUGAAUGGUCUGCAGAAGAAUCGAAGUUCAUCUCGAUACGAGUUCGUAGGCGAAAACGGAUCUAAAAUCCGACUUGAAACGAGGGAGAACGGACCAAAACAAAAACGCUGCGCAUUGCAGUGGCCGGCGCCCGCCGGGAGGCGGCGCCCGCCGUGUCCAUUCUGCGAAGGGCAUAGGCGGCGGCGCCGCCGGGCGGCGGCCGCCGCCCGGGCGGCCAUGGCCGCCUGCGCGGUCUGCCAGUUACGUUUUUGAGGGUUUAAAACCCAUUUUUUAGGGUUUUGAGCGCCCACUCUCGACCCCAGCAGCCUCCAGACGAUUUUCCCUUGUUUUUCCUUAGUUUUAGAGUAGUUAAAACAUCAUCAAACAUAUUUAGCUUUGUGGAUUGAAGAUCAAGUUAGUUUUCUUCACAUCGGAUUGAAGUUUUGAAUCGUUCUCGCUGUAAGAACUUUGUUUAUGUUUUCUUUAGAAUUGAAAGGUAGUUAUUUCCUCUGCAUAGAUUAUUGUUGCUUCGUGUUUAUUCAAUGAAUUGCUUGUUCGUUUAUCUCGCCUAGAUAACUAGUGUUUAUGAUUGUUGAUUUACUAUUGCUUUCUAGAUAGCUAGUUCAGAGCCCUAGGUUUAUUGGCUUUCCUGCGUUCUUAAUCUGCUUCCUAUCGUUCGCCUAGAUAGAUUUAUAUGCUUUCUGUUGAUUCGGUAUUAGAUAAUUCACAAGCUUUAUUUAAUUACGCCUAGAUUUAAAGAGAGAGUGUCAGACCCAAUCUACCCGAUUAGAGUGUUUAGGUUUUAUUUCUGUUUCUUGUGAGUAGCACAGUUAAAGCCCUGCUAAGCCUUCCUUGAGAGACGACUUGAGUCACCUUACCGCCCUAGGACGACCUCGUAUAAAUUCGAGUCCAUCCGCUAGGUGUUUUAGGAUGAGUCAAUUGUUAAUAUAAAAGAAAUUAGUUUUUCAAAUAUAUGCUAAAUUCUCAAAAGCUCUAAAGAAAUUUAAAACAAAUACAAGAGAAAUCAUAACCUGUCACUUGUGAGAUUGGAACACUCCCACCAGUGUCAACAAUAAGAAAACGCCUCUUUCUUUUUUUCGAAGUCUUAUCUGAAAAUUACAAACCAUAGUCACAAAAAAAUAAUAAUAAUAGCAACAUCACUUGCUAAGCAAUCCCAUAUAAUAUUAAAUUUAAUUGUGCAAAUCUAGACACAAUUCAUCAAAUAUUAUGCACCUCGCAAACUUCUCGACUGAGUAGUUAGAGCAUGUGAACACUCAGGGCCAAAGAUAAUUGGCGUAGCCAUAUCAGUUGUUGAUGGAGUAGGUAAACUAAACAAUAAACGUCUUGAAGUUGUACACAGAGCCGUCUGAGCCAUCUGAACACAAAAAUAAUAUUAAAUUUGCAUAAAAGCAACAAAGAAUUGGAAAGUAAAUAGUAGGUGUGACUACACAGCUAGCAACAUGCCUUAUACAAUAAUUAAAAUUCCCAUACACCAUAGUUUAAAAUAAAAACACGAAAUAAAUAAAGGUAAGUGUGCAAGUGAUACAAAUGAGUUAAUAAAAUAAAAUAAAAACACAGAAAGCUCAACAGUACGUAACCUUCCGUUGAAAGCACACAUCUUCUUUUUGCCNUUUUAAACCUUAGCUUUGAACAUUUGAUUGGGAACAUAGAUAUCUAGAAAGACUUGGAUUUGUUGGUGUUUUGCUUGGUGAGUAGAAUCGCUUGUGGAUUUCCAUUUGAUGUUGUGAUUUUUGCUUGAGGACAAGCAAGGAAUUAAGUGUGGGGGGGUUGUUUAGCCCUAUUUUGUGAUGAAUUUAUGGGUGUUUACAUCUUAUAUUGACUUUUAUUUUGG
RNAcentral lists this long non-coding RNA (2795 nucleotides) under Salvia miltiorrhiza (redroot sage). RNAcentral describes it as "long non-coding RNA (SMIL_LNC007956)". The record is from RNAcentral. Lineage: Eukaryota; Viridiplantae; Streptophyta; Magnoliopsida; Lamiales; Lamiaceae.